This 322-nucleotide ribosomal RNA is filed under the name uncultured eukaryote. Its description in RNAcentral is "partial 18S ribosomal RNA". It matches the Rfam family "Eukaryotic small subunit ribosomal RNA", at positions 1470 to 1796 of the family's 1831-position model. The record is from RNAcentral.
CCCUUAGAUGUUCUGGGCCGCACGCGUGCUACACUGAGUGGAUCAGCGGGUCAGGUUGCGCGAAAGUGUUUCCUAAUCUUGAAAUCCGCUCGUGAUGGGGAUUGACGGUUGCAAUUUUCCGUCAUGAACGAGGAAUACCUUGUAAGCGCGGGUCAUCAUCCCGCGCUGAAUACGUCCCUGCCCUUUGUACACACCGCCCGUCGCUCCUACCGAUUGAGCGGUCCGGUGAGGCUUUGGGAUCUGAGCGGAAAGAGCGUUUCGCUGCUUCUGCUCGGAAAACUCAGUCGAACCUUAUCAUUUAGAGGAAGGAGAAGUCGUAACA